UACGAAGGGGGCUAGCGUUGCUCGGAAUCACUGGGCGUAAAGGGUGCGUAGGCGGGUCUUUAAGUCAGGGGUGAAAUCCUGGAGCUCAACUCCAGAACUGCCCUUGAUACUGGCGGUCUCGAGUCCGGGAGAGGUGAGUGGAACUGCGAGUGUAGAGGUGAAAUUCGUAGAUAUUCGCAAGAACACCAGUGGCGAAGGCGGCUCACUGGCCCGGUACUCGACGCUGAGGUGCGAAGCGUGGGAGCAACAGG
Molecule: ribosomal RNA, 251 nt
Filed under: uncultured bacterium
Lineage: Bacteria
Description: partial 16S ribosomal RNA
Rfam family: Bacterial small subunit ribosomal RNA
Source: RNAcentral